AGAGUUUGAUCCUGGCUCAGGAUGAACGCUGGCGGCGUGCCUAAUACAUGCAAGUCGAACGAAUCUUCUUCGGAAGAUGAGUGGCGAACGGGUGAGUAAUACGUGGACAACCUGCCUCAAGGCUGGGGAUAACAUUUGGAAACAGAUGCUAAUACCGAAUAAAACUUAGUAUCGCAUGAUACCAGGUUAAAAGGCGCUACGGCGUCACUUAGAGAUGGAUCCGCGGUGCAUUAGUUAGUUGGUGGGGUAAAGGCCUACCAAGACAAUGAUGCAUAGCCGAGUUGAGAGACUGAUCGGCCACAUUGGGACUGAGACACGGCCCAAACUCCUACGGGAGGCUGCAGUAGGGAAUCUUCCACAAUGGGCGAAAGCCUGAUGGAGCAACGCCGCGUGUGUGAUGAAGGCUUUCGGGUCGUAAAGCACUGUUGUAUGGGAAGAAAAGUUAAGGUAGGGAAUGACCUUAGCCUGACGGUACCAUACCAGAAAGGGACGGCUAAAUACGUGCCAGCAGCCGCGGUAAUACGUAUGUCCCGAGCGUUAUCC
This 543-nucleotide ribosomal RNA is filed under the name uncultured Leuconostoc sp. RNAcentral describes it as "bacterial SSU rRNA". It matches the Rfam family "Bacterial small subunit ribosomal RNA", at positions 8 to 546 of the family's 1533-position model. Lineage: Bacteria; Bacillati; Bacillota; Bacilli; Lactobacillales; Lactobacillaceae. The record is from RNAcentral.